CCAAGGCUUACACCUGCCACUGAGAGCUUCAUCAGCCCUGGAGUCCGAAGGGAAGAGAAACAGUCAGUAGCCACUGGGCAUCCAGGAUGGGAGAAUACAGACCCUACAAACUGCAGCACAUCAGCCUUACUUACCAAAGAAGGUUGCAAUGACUGUGGCCCUCAUGAUGAGUGAAGAAAAAUCUGGAUGUGUCACUAAGGAGCACUGAAAAGGAAAAGAGGAGUUCACCAGGCUGCAUUUGGAGAAACCAAGAUUGCACACACUUAUUUCAGAAGCCAGGGUCAGGAGAGGGCAAGGUGGGCAUGGACAUGUUUUGACAUCUAUUCAAAUCUGUUCACUGCUCUUCUAAGAAAUAAUCAAAGAAUUGUCCUUUCUGCACAUCAAAGCGCACCAGAUUUCACCAACAGGAAUAGAAGAUGUAGACCACAGAAGACUGAGUUUCUGUCCCAAAUGACCACCUAUUUUGAGAUGCAGUUUGGUGGAAAGGCUUUCUCCAAAACAGGGUGCAAGCCUCAGUCACUGAAAAAUGAGCCCAAAGAGGAAAGGCAGCCCAAGGCAACCCAGCUAAGUCCUGCUAGAGAGGAGAACAGAGAAGAUGGCCAGAGAGAUGAGGAGGCAAUUUCCAGCCACCCAGGAGCUGACAACACAAAGAGCAGAAACAAGAGGUAGACCAUGUU
Molecule: long non-coding RNA, 677 nt
Filed under: Junco hyemalis (dark-eyed junco)
Lineage: Eukaryota; Metazoa; Chordata; Aves; Passeriformes; Passerellidae
Description: lncRNA (ENSJHYG00000001813.1)
Source: RNAcentral